GACGAACGCUGGCGGCGUGCUUAACACAUGCAAGUCGAACGGAAAGGCCCUGCUUUUGUGGGGUGCUCGAGUGGCGAACGGGUGAGUAACACGUGAGUAACCUGCCCUUGACUUUGGGAUAACUUCAGGAAACUGGGGCUAAUACCGGAUAGGAGCUCCUGCUGCAUGGUGGGGGUUGGAAAGUUUCGGCGGUUGGGGAUGGACUCGCGGCUUAUCAGCUUGUUGGUGGGGUAGUGGCUUACCAAGGCUUUGACGGGUAGCCGGCCUGAGAGGGUGACCGGCCACAUUGGGACUGAGAGACGGCCCAGACUCCUACGGGAGGCAGCAGUGGGGAAUCUUGCACAAUGGGCGGAAGCCUGAUGCAGCAACGCCGCGUGCGGGAUGACGGCCUUCGGGUUGUAAACCGCUUUCGCCUGUGACGAAGCGUGAGUGACGGUAAUGGGUAAAGAAGCACCGGCUAACUACGUG
RNAcentral lists this ribosomal RNA (468 nucleotides) under uncultured bacterium. RNAcentral's name for it is "partial 16S ribosomal RNA". It matches the Rfam family "Bacterial small subunit ribosomal RNA", at positions 28 to 507 of the family's 1533-position model. The record is from RNAcentral.